AAUUACUUGUUUAGCAUCUGUCUGCUUCUCUGGGCUGCGUGUGCUGGCCUUGUUCAUGGCUGGGUCCCCAGCACUGAGCAGCCUGCCUGGGGCGUAAUAAGUGUGUGUUGGGAAAACAAACAAACAGACGCCUGGCUGGCUGAAUAAAUGCUCAGAUGCUCUUCAGAGCAGCUGGACUCAGUGUCCCCCCACCCCCUCCCCCUCCACCCCAAGGCCUGGGUUCUGACACAGGCUCUGCGGCCACACACUUCUUGUGUGAUCUUGGGCAAGUCAUCGUGUUCUCUGAGAAAUUACAUUGAUUACUGAGGAGGAGUCGCAUGCAGAGGAUCCCUGAGAGCUCUGGAAGAAUUUGUUGGAAGUGGGUUUUUGGAAUAAGAAACUGCGUGAGCAAAGAGACUGGGAAGUCCAAGAGCAUGGAGCUGGCAUCUGGAGAGGGCCCUUGGGCUGCAUCAUCCCAUAGUGGAAGGCAAAAGGAUGAGAAAACUGAGGUCCAGAUAAGCUGAGUCAUCCAAAGUCUCACAGCUACCAUGUGAACUGAGCCAGGAUUUGAACCCAGGCAUUCUGCCUCCAGAGCCCAGGCUGUUAACUGCUACAUUAUGCUGGACACGCUGCACCUGCCCCCAUUCCUACCCCAGGGGACCUCCUGUGUGCCAUGACGCUUCACAAUCAGAACCUCGCUUAAGCCUCAUGACAACUUUAUGCAUCUGGUCAUUUUGCAAAUCCAAUCAAUCAAUACGGAGCACUUGCUAUGUUCCUGAUGCUAAACUAGAUACCAGGGACACGGUGCAGAGGAUGAAGACAGAUAAGGACCCAUCUCUUGGGGAACUUACCGUCUAGAGAGAGAAGACAGCCAGUCGAGGAGAGAGGCAAUCGUGGGCAGUGCAGGAGAACAGGAAACACAGGGGGCUUUGCAAGCACAGAAUAGGGACUCAGUAAAUAUUCGUGGUUGAAUGGAAAGCUCUUAGGAUAAUGGCUUUCAGGUAGCUCUCCAAUGUGCCAGCCUAUUGUGUUAGUUAGGGCAGGAUAACUGCUGUUACAGACAACCCCCAAAUCUCAGUGACUCACAAUCUGUUUACUUGUCACUCAGGUCACAGUCCAGUGUAGGUCAACUCCUCAUGGUCACUCAGAGACCCAGGCCCUUCCAUCCAGGGGAGGGGAUCUUGAUUUCUUUUUUGAUCUUCUGCAUCCCCCGGCAGAGGAGAGGAAAAGGCAGGGUGUGGAGGAGCAUGGGGGAGGUUUUAUGGGCAGGCCUGGAAGGGAUUCAUGGCCAAUUCACCUGGUCUUGUGUGGGGGUGUAGGUAGUGACCUAGGAGUGAAGGAAGGAGCAGUGUCAUGCCCAGCAGUUCCCCCAGGUGAAUUCAAUGGAGGAGAGGUGAUUUUCCUAAACAAUGAGGGUUACUUAGGAAGGGGGCAUGGAUUCUGGGUGGUCACAGCCUUCUAACCGGUAUAUAUUCACUGCAGUAUGCUAGUCAGGAUUCUUUUAGCUUCAACUGAUAAAAACCCAACUCAAACUACUUAAGGAAAAGAGAAUGGUUCUGGUCUAGGAAGGUGGUUUCAGGAAUGGCUGGAUACAGGAACUCAACAGGGUCAUCUUUUCUGGUUGGCUUUAGCCUCCAGGCAGGCUGUCAAUGUGUGGUAGGGAAGCAGGCCACCAGCAGGUGCACCCAAACAUGUAUGCAACAAGCCCAGCAAGCCUGGCAGGAGCGAGGCAUAUGUAUCAUUUAUCUGUGUACAUCUAUAAUAUGUAUGUCAUAUAUCAUGUAUCCUCUCUAUAUAUCAU
Molecule: long non-coding RNA, 1780 nt
Filed under: Pan troglodytes (chimpanzee)
Lineage: Eukaryota; Metazoa; Chordata; Mammalia; Primates; Hominidae
Description: long non-coding RNA NONPTRT009087
Source: RNAcentral